This 518-nucleotide ribosomal RNA is filed under the name uncultured bacterium. RNAcentral's name for it is "bacterial SSU rRNA". It matches the Rfam family "Bacterial small subunit ribosomal RNA", at positions 115 to 619 of the family's 1533-position model. The record is from RNAcentral.
ACGUGGGCAACCUGCCUGUAAGUUGGGGAUAACUCCGGGAAACCGGGGCUAAUACCGAAUGAUAGAAUGUGGCGCAUGCCACGCUUUUGAAAGAUGGUUUCGGCUAUCGCUUACAGAUGGGCCCGCGGUGCAUUAGCUAGUUGGUAGGGUAAUGGCCUACCAAGGCAACGAUGCAUAGCCGACCUGAGAGGGUGAUCGGCCACACUGGGACUGAGACACGGCCCAGACUCCUACGGGAGGCAGCAGUAGGGAAUCUUCCGCAAUGGACGAAAGUCUGACGGAGCAACGCCGCGUGUAUGAAGAAGGUUUUCGGAUCGUAAAGUACUGUUGUUAGAGAAGAACAAGGAUAAGAGUAACCGCUUGUCCCUUGACGGUAUCUAACCAGAAAGCCACGGCUAACUACGUGCCAGCAGCCGCGGUAAUACGUAGGUGGCAGGCGUUGUCCGGAUUUAUUGGGCGUAAAGCGCGCGCAGGCGGUCUUUUAAGUCUGAUGUGAAAGCCCCCGGCUUAACCGGGGA